UUAAGGUGCUCAAAGAACAGUAUCUUGGCUACAGGAAAAUGUUUUUGGGAGAUGCUGUAGAUGUGUUUGAAGCCAGGCGAACAGAAGCCAAGAAGUGGCAGAACGCACCC
MicroRNA precursor from Erinaceus europaeus (western European hedgehog), 110 nucleotides. Lineage: Eukaryota; Metazoa; Chordata; Mammalia; Eulipotyphla; Erinaceidae. The record is from Ensembl.